This 440-nucleotide ribosomal RNA is filed under the name uncultured bacterium. RNAcentral describes it as "partial 16S ribosomal RNA". It matches the Rfam family "Bacterial small subunit ribosomal RNA", at positions 338 to 795 of the family's 1533-position model. The record is from RNAcentral.
CCUACGGGAGGCAGCAGUGGGGAAUAUUGCACAAUGGGGGAAACCCUGAUGCAGCGACGCCGCGUGCGUGAAGAAGUAUUUCGGUACGUAAAGCUCUAUCAGCAGGGAAGAAAAUGACGGUACCUGACUAAGAAGCCCCGGCUAACUACGUGCCAGCAGCCUCGGUAAUACGUAGGGGGCAAGCGUUAUCCGGAUUUACUGGGUGUAAAGGGAGCGUAGACGGCAGCGCAAGUCUGGAGUGAAAUCCCAUGGCUUAACCAUGGAACUGCUUUGGAAACUGUGCAGCUAGAGUGCAGGAGAGGUAAGCGGAAUUCCUAGUGUAGCGGUGAAAUGCGUAGAUAUUAGGAGGAACACCAGUGGCGAAGGCGGCUUACUGGACUGUAACUGACGUUGAGGCUCGAAAGCGUGGGGAGCAAACAGGAUUAGAUACCCUUGUAGUC